This 1315-nucleotide long non-coding RNA is filed under the name Brassica rapa (field mustard). RNAcentral describes it as "long non-coding RNA (BRAP_LNC001903)". Lineage: Eukaryota; Viridiplantae; Streptophyta; Magnoliopsida; Brassicales; Brassicaceae. The record is from RNAcentral.
UUUCAAGUCCCGGAGAGAGCGGUUUAUUAAACAAUUAUGCAGACUACAGAGAAAAGACUUGCAAGGGAUCUUCAACAUGGUGCAAGUAAAUCUGGCCAGGCGUGGAUCUUCAUAGGACGGUUCAGGUGAUGCAGUUAGGCGUAGGUCUUCAUAAGGCAGGUAGUAUUGUCGGUUGUCGAAUCGUCUAUGUAAUUUUUCCUAUAUCAUAAUUGUAAGAUCGUAAUAAAUCAGCGUUAAAAAAAAAAAAAUCUUAAAAAUAUAUUUUAUUAUAAAAAGAUAAUUCCUAUAUAUAUUAUAAUAAGAUAAUUCUUAUUAUAUUGUGUUGUUAUCUUAUAUAUUGUAUUGUUAUCUUGAAAUAAUAUGUUUCUAUUAUAAAAAUCAAAUAUUUAGAUAUAAAUUUAUUUAUAAUUAAAUACUAAUAAAAAAAAAUAUUUUUAUAAAAAACAAUUCGUCAUACAUAAAUAAUUUGAUGUUUAACUUUUUUUAAAAAAUAUAAAUAAAAUUUUAUCAUGCUAAUUUUUGAAUUAAUAAAACAUAAACUAAUAAAUGUUCAUAAAACAAAACGUAUAUGGUAAAUCCACGAAACGUAGAAAUUAAUCUUAAUCUUCUGGGCGAUUCAGUAAAUAUUUCCAUUCUCACUUCUUGUUCAUCUUCUCCAGAUCUCAACGGAGAUACAAUGAGAGAGGAAUCAAAACCCGUUUGAAAAGAUAAUUUCAGAUAUGGGUCUCGCUUGUUUCCUUCUCCUCCAGCUGGGCGGAGAGAACCACUCCCCAACUACAAGGCGUGGCUUUUGGCGGAAACAGCUCAGGAAAAUAUGAACCCUGGCCCUCACUCUGUCCAUUCCUCGUUUGGAUUGAGUCUAUGCUCACAAACUAAUCUUCAGAAGAUGAAGGAGAAGAACCUUCAUUGUCUGCUACGUCUUCUUGCCAUAGUUUAAUAAGUGUAUGGAAUGAGUGGCAAUUGGCAAAGUAGCAUUCCAAGCCCGUUGAGAAUGUGUACAGCAGUACAGAUGGGCGUGCGGAUACUUUCGUUAACACUUUUCCCUUAUCACUCUGUCAUCCCCUAGCCUCAAUUUAGUAACCAUCAAAAUAUCAGUCAUUGCAUACUCAUACGGAUUGGUUCAUAGUGAAUGAGUCCUCUGAAUUGUUUUUCUGCACUAUACUCAUGAAGACCUGAUACUUUACAUUUUACGAUAUAAAACUCGUGGAUGUGUGAUAUGAGCCGACUGCGAUCUCGUAACCGGUGCCGGCCGUCUUUAAACGUUAAGAAGAGAAAGAGAAGUAGCUAAUCCAAUGGAGACAAGUGCGUAGACCGG